RNAcentral lists this ribosomal RNA (277 nucleotides) under uncultured bacterium. RNAcentral describes it as "partial 16S ribosomal RNA". It matches the Rfam family "Bacterial small subunit ribosomal RNA", at positions 28 to 315 of the family's 1533-position model. The record is from RNAcentral.
GACGAACGCUUGCGACGUGCCUAAGAAAUGCAAGUCGAGCGGGGAGCAAUCCCAGCGGCGAACGGUCGCGUAACACGUAAGCAACCUGCCCCCAAGACCGGGACAACGUUCCGAAAGGAGCGCUAAUACCGGAUGUGCCCGUCGGGUGACAUCGCCUGGCGAGUAAAGCAAGCAAUUGGCUUAGGGAGGGGCUUGCGGCCUAUCAGCUAGAUGGUGGGGUAACGGCCUACCAUGGCGACGACGGGUAGCUGGUCUGAGAGGAUGGUCAGCCGGAUUG